Molecule: ribosomal RNA, 775 nt
Filed under: uncultured Mycobacterium sp.
Lineage: Bacteria; Bacillati; Actinomycetota; Actinomycetes; Mycobacteriales; Mycobacteriaceae
Description: bacterial SSU rRNA
Rfam family: Bacterial small subunit ribosomal RNA
Source: RNAcentral
UAGGUGGUUUGUCGCGUUGUUCGUGAAAUCUCACGGCUUAACUGUGAGCGUGCGGGCGAUACGGGCAGACUAGAGUACUGCAGGGGAGACUGGAAUUCCUGGUGUAGCGGUGGAAUGCGCAGAUAUCAGGAGGAACACCGGUGGCGAAGGCGGGUCUCUGGGCAGUAACUGACGCUGAGGAGCGAAAGCGUGGGGAGCGAACAGGAUUAGAUACCCUGGUAGUCCACGCCGUAAACGGUGGGUACUAAGUGUGGGUUUACUUCCUUGGGAUCCGUGCCGUAGCUAACGCAUUAAGUACCCCGCCUGGGGAGUACGGACGCAAGGCUAAAUCUCAAAGGAAUUGACGGGGGCCCGCACAAGCGGCGGAGCAUGUGGAUUAAUUCGAUGCAACGCGAAGAACCUUACCUGGGUUUGACAUGCACAGGACGCGUCUAGAGAUAGGCGUUCCCUUGUGGCCUGUGUGCAGGUGGUGCAUGGCUGUCGUCAGCUCGUGUCGUGAGAUGUUGGGUUAAGUCCCGCAACGAGCGCAACCCUUGUCUCAUGUUGCCAGCGGGUAAUGCCGGGGACUCGUGAGAGACUGCCGGGGUCAACUCGGAGGAAGGUGGGGAUGACGUCAAGUCAUCAUGCCCCUUAUGUCCAGGGCUUCACACAUGCUACGAUGGCCGGUACAAAGGGCUGCGAUGCCGUAAGGUUAAGCGAAUCCUUUUAAAGCCGGUCUCAGUUCGGAUUGGGGUCUGCAACUCGACCCCAUGAAGUCGGAGUCGCUAGUAAUCGC